This 254-nucleotide ribosomal RNA is filed under the name uncultured bacterium. Its description in RNAcentral is "partial 16S ribosomal RNA". It matches the Rfam family "Bacterial small subunit ribosomal RNA", at positions 524 to 776 of the family's 1533-position model. The record is from RNAcentral.
GACGGAGGAUGCAAGUGUUAUCCGGAAUCACUGGGCGUAAAGCGUCUGUAGGUGGUUCGAAAAGUCCACUGUUAAAAAUUGAAGCUUAACUUCAAAGAUGCCGUGGAAACUUUCAAACUAGAGUGUGGUAGGGGUAGAGGGAAUUUCCAGUGGAGCGGUGAAAUGCGUAGAUAUUGGAAAAGACCACCGAUGGCGAAGGCACUCUACUGGGCCAUUACUGACACUGAGAGACGAGAGCUAGGGGAGCAAAUGGG